AACGAACGCUGGCGGCAUGCCUAACACAUGCAAGUCGAACGAGACCUUCGGGUCUAGUGGCGCACGGGUGCGUAACGCGUGGGAACCUGCCCUUAGGUUCGGAAUAACUCCCCGAAAGGGGUGCUAAUACCGGAUAAUGUCUUCGGACCAAAGAUUUAUCGCCUUUGGAUGGGCCCGCGUUGGAUUAGCUAGUUGGUAGGGUAAAAGCCUACCAAGGCGACGAUCCAUAGCUGGCCUGAGAGGAUGAUCAGCCACACUGGGACUGAGACACGGCCCAGACUCCUACGGGAGGCAGCAGUGGGGAAUAUUGGACAAUGGGCGAAAGCCUGAGCCAGCAAUGCCGCGUGAGUGAUGAAGGCCUUAGGGUUGUAAAGCUCUUUUACCCGGGAUGAUAAUGACAGUACCGGGAGAAUAAGCUCCGGCUAACUCCGUG
Molecule: ribosomal RNA, 433 nt
Filed under: uncultured bacterium
Lineage: Bacteria
Description: partial 16S ribosomal RNA
Rfam family: Bacterial small subunit ribosomal RNA
Source: RNAcentral